ACUGAGAUGAAAGAGAUGGACCGUCAUUGGCACAUUUGUGAAGAAACCUGUUUCACCUGAAAACAGUGCUUCCCAGAGAAACCCAAAGUUCCAGCCUCGAGCUUGGUGUGGGAGUAUGGUUGCCCUGUUACCAAAAAGGGAAAGUCCAUGGUAUUCGUUCUCUGUGGGAAAAACCGCAUGCCCUACAUUGUUUGAUCAUAAAGACAUACUUUAACAGAAGGAGUGCUCCUCCAAGUUUUAACUUUGCUUUUUCUGCCCAUAGACUGGAAUUAAGAUGAGCUUUUGGUAGCAUCUUGCUACCAGGAGAUGAGCUUUGCAAACCAAACAGACUUGAUGCCAUCGCUCCUAGUGACCUCCAGUUAUGGGUACUUUCUGAGCCCUGUAUGAACUCCAGGAGAGUACAGGUGAGCCCUUCAUCUGAGUUGACCUGUAGAGACCACUUUCUGUGGUGGCUGCAUACAUGCCCCUUACCUCCUGCUGUCUCUGCGAUUACUGAUGCUCCAGGAAAGCAGUGGUGUCCUGGACAUUCUUUUGCACCAGGCAUGAGGAGACAUAGAGUGGAACAAAGAGUGAUCAAACAGCAAAUUCUUUUAGCAAUGCCUGUAAUGAGAAGAAUGAAAAAGAAAAGUUUCCUAAGACGUUGACGUGCCAUCUUACCCUCUUCUAAGAAUGGACAGCUACCCUGUUGUUGUGAACCAAAUUGCUAAGGCUUAAAUUCUGCAUCUCAGCAGCCAAAAUGUGUGGCUAAUAAAUCCCGAACGCUGACAAAGGGUGCGUAGGAUCGGGAAUCUCAGCCCACAGGAUGAACUGGGAAGUGGAAGGUGGAGAUGAUGGCUGAAGUCUGCCAAGAUUCAGAGGAGCACAGCAGCGUGCCAGACCCUCUCUGGAUGUGAGCACUGCGAGAAGAUGGAUCAGAUGAAUAUCUCACAGUUGGUGGAUGAGAUCCCUAGAACUACGAUGGAGCGUUCAAGUUAUUACAAAAAAGACAUGAGUUGACAGAUGCAGCGUGGAAAAAAAAUAACAGCAUAAUCCCAGAAUAUCACCUACAGAAUCAGUUCUUCCUUCCUCCUCAUCUUUGAUGACUGCCUUCUUUGGACGACACAGUGAGCUGCCUGAUUUUGUCACAUCUAUGUGAAGAGCAUUUCCCUAGAGUGCAAUGUGAGCCCAGUUCUUUGCUCUGCUGCAACAUAUCCUAAGAGAAAAAAAGAUAGAAGAAUGAAAACAAGCUGGAAAGAGACAAAUUCCAUCUCAAUACCUGUUUUUCCUCAGCAGAAUUAGAACUGCAUAUUAGCACAGAUUUAUGCUACUGGAACUAAUGGAGUGCCACUCCUAGUCAUGUGUCGUCAUCCUCUGAGUGAAACACUCCCAGAAGAGGGUUGCUGAUGAGCACUGGUGAGAAACAUGAACUGAGGCUUUGCUUCUUGACUGGUGGGACAGGUAAUCAGGUAGAUGAAUACUCCAGACAUAAGUUCAUCUGCUGUGUCUCCUCCAGCUUCUGACCAUCUGUGUUCUUUGCCUUCCCCACUUCAUCUCAGACCCGGUCUCCUCAUGUAGCAAGUCACAGUGGAUCCUAGUUUCUGAUGUCACAAUCCAGUUGUCUCUUUGCUCACUCCUAGCGUGAAAUCUUUUGCUCCCAGUCUUUUUGGUUGGACCAUCCCACCUCCCCAGUCUUUCCUCCAAGCCUCAUUCCUCAUCCAGCAGUUCUGAGAUACAGCAUAUCUGUCUGAGAUUUUCUUUGUGAUGUAUUUGAGCAACUCCCUCCUCUGCAGCCUGGAUUCCAACAGUGGGGCUGCUCACACCCAAGGGACAGCAGCCCUGAGCUUUGUGCUUAGAUGCCUAGGCCUCUUAUGGCUCAUGGUAGCAAAUACCUAUUCACAGUAAAUGGAACAUUUGCAAAAGUUUGCUGUUAAAGCCAUCUUUGUUAAACAUGCAAUAUGCCUUCCUGUACACUUAUUUAAUGAGCAUAAAACCAGCACAUCCCUGACAGAAAUGCUAUCUUUUGUCAGUUUUAAAGUCCUAGCACCAAAGUCGAGAGAUCUAGGUUUUGUCAAAGUAGUCACCGGAAUGCUUAAGCAUAGCAUAUUUUCCCCCACGGCCUGUCAGACAUGUCAGAUAUGUCUGAAUUGUUUUGCACUAGCUCCCCUGAGAAUAUGUGUCAAACAGCAAGUCCUGAAUUAUACAGUUUUGUAUUUUUUAGAUAGGACAAUAGAGUAGAUACAUUUAAUCUUCUAAAAAAAAGCAUACCAGUAUCGUUAAUGACCACUAUACAAACUUCUGUUCUAUAGAGAGGAUAAGAAAUGUACUUGCAAACAAGAAAAAUGAGAUCCUGCUGUUCCAAGGUUUAUGCUCUGCAUAGUUCAAGGUUACCAGUGUACAGCUCUGCUUCUAACAAAGCAUCUUCCCAUUCUCUGCAGUCAGUGCACCAUGGCUCUUAUGUACUGUGCAGUUAUUGAUAUGAAAGAUGGACAGGCCUGACCAGGGAGAAGGAGGAAUCCAGGCGGCCUCAUACCUCCAGUUGUGUUGGCUAAAUCCUGAACAAUGCCGGGAAUGGGACUAGGGUUUCACUGUCACAGUCUCCCCACAGCAGUGUUUCUGCUUUUCUUUCCCUAUCUUGCUCCCUUUUCCACCUAUACUUCCUUUUAUUUUCUAUCUAAGAAGAGUCUGCUUGAGAUGUUAAAACUCCGACGUUUAGAGAGCUGCCUUGAGCCUCCUAAAAGACAGCCUGUGUUAGAGACAGCUGGGCACUACUACAAUUUCCGUGUUUCCAUGUGACCAACAGACAGCUGGCUGUGCUUGUGGUUUUCUAGCAAUGAACUUGCUAUUUAGAGCCAACACUAGAACAAGGAGAUAAGUUCCCUUCCCUUACAGCUCUUAAACCUUUUAGUUUGUAGGUCUGUCUGUUAUGGGAAGGACUAGACGUUGACAGCAUCUCCAGCAGCAGUUCCAGCCCAUUUCAGUAGACUUAAUAACUCUGUUUUCCAAAGCAGCAACACAAAGCAGUAGAUUUUCUUACUGUCUGUUAAACAAUGGUGUUUUCUAGAUGUUUUUAAAUUGAAACCCUUAAUGUUUGCAUUCCAAAUGUUUCUAUUCUUUGUUGUCGGUGUUUUGUUUUGUUUUGUUUUGUUUUCCUUUUCUAUUUUUAUUAAAGGGUUCAGAAGAUUGGUGUGGUUCACAUGAACCACAUUGUGGUUCACAUCAUAUUCAUAGGAAUAAACAAACAAAGAUUUAUGCAUCUGAAACCCCAAACGCUAUCCCAAAUCAUGUUUAGCAAUACAGUUUUGUACAGUGAUGCUUUAAUACAGUUGCUUUAAUACAACUGACCCUCUGUUUAUUUUACUGAAAUUUGACUCAGCAAAGUUAAAUCCCCCUGUAUCAUGCUUCAAGACAACUCAUUUUAUGUCUGGAUACAAACCCAAUCACCUCAUAAGCCAUGUAAUCAACACCUGCCUUAAUGUGCCUGUUAGCGCUAGUGCAGUUGAGUGGAAAAACAAAUUGCAAUGACUUUAGAGAAAUGCACUUAAUUUCUAGAGGAUGCUUGGUGAGUAUCAGAACAAUAGAGGGUGUAUUACCUACUAUAUCUACCAGCACUGCAUUUCCUUGGCGUAGGUAAUAUUAUUCAAUAAGAAAAUGGCAGCCUUCUGCCAUUGCGUUAAUUCUUGAAUGGGUACCAUGAAGUGAGCCAUCUCUUUGGCAUGUUUUAACUUAAUUUGAAAGAAACUGUUGUGUGAUGAUGAGUUCUGAAGCAAAAUCUAAAACAUGCUACUUUUCAGUUUGAAAGGUUUCGCUGUGUGAUUGCAAAUAUGAAAUUUACAGAGAUUAAUAUUAUUCUCCUGUUACUUCAUAUUCUCCAGUCAACAUGGUUUACUUUUCUGUCUUGCUAUGUACUCUUUUAUGCAGCUUUUGGUGUGUCUUUAUUUUAUUCCUACAUAAUUCAAAUAAAAGAAUCC
This is a long non-coding RNA of Gallus gallus (chicken), 3947 nucleotides long. Lineage: Eukaryota; Metazoa; Chordata; Aves; Galliformes; Phasianidae. The record is from Ensembl.